CAGUCUAAUUAUUCAAGGCAGAAACUAAUCACAUGUGUCAACCCCGUUGGGGCUGCACACGCAGAUACAUUACAGGCUUGCAUAUGUGCGCAGGACAGCGCCGGAAUUUAUGGCUUGAACAGACAUCGACCCAACAAGGGGCGGGGGCACACAGAUGUUACAGGUGAUGCCGGAAUGGAUGGGGAUGUGGCAUUAGGAGGGGAUGUGGGCUCGUUGAGCUCAUAAUUACAGCCAGCAGAGGGCCACAAAUCGAUGCUAUUGAAACUUUCAGCAGGGAACAGUGUUUUUGCAUAUUUUAGUUGCGAUAAAAGAGUAGGAAUUAUGAAAAUGAAAAUGUUUAUUAUUAUCGUUGGCGCACACGGACUCCUGUCGACCGAGAUGACAAAGCAUAAUAAAUUGCCCGAUUUUGCUCCGGUCUGGCCUGGCCUGGUCCUGGCCCCUGGCCGCAAUGCAGUGUUUUAAUGAAUUUUUAAUUAGUAGCAAUUAAUAUGGUAAUUUGUUCAGUUCCAAUCGCUGAGUGCCACGAUUGCGACACUAGCAAUUCUGAAUGCGAUUUCACAGGACCUACCCUUUUUUACUGAUGUGGGUUUAUGGCGUAACCUAGACAGAUCAAAAACUAAUGGCAUUUGGUCUCCAAUAAUUGAGAUUUUCAAACGAUUUUUUAAGUACUCUAAAGAGUAUGAAUAAUC
This is a long non-coding RNA of Drosophila kikkawai, 689 nucleotides long. RefSeq lists it as uncharacterized. The record is from RefSeq and is a predicted model, not a curated record. Lineage: Eukaryota; Metazoa; Arthropoda; Insecta; Diptera; Drosophilidae.